RNAcentral lists this ribosomal RNA (407 nucleotides) under uncultured bacterium. RNAcentral's name for it is "bacterial SSU rRNA". It matches the Rfam family "Bacterial small subunit ribosomal RNA", at positions 355 to 776 of the family's 1533-position model. The record is from RNAcentral.
UUAGGAAUUUUGCGCAAUGGAAGAAAUUCUGACGCAGCAACGCCGCGUGAGGGAUGAAGGCCUUCGGGUCGUAAACCUCUUUUAGUGGGGAAAAACACAAUGAUGGUACCCGCAGAAAAAGCACCGGCGAACUCUGUGCCAGCAGCCGCGGUAAUACAGAGGGUGCAAGCGUUAUUCGGAUUCACUGGGCGUAAAGGGCGCGUAGGCGGCUUGGUAAGUUUGAUGUGAAAGCCCUGGGCUCAAUCCAGGAAGUGCAUCGAAUACUGUCAAGCUGGAGUAUGGGAGAGGAGGACGGAAUUCCUGGUGUAGAGGUGAAAUUCGUAGAUAUCAGGAGGAACAACAGUGGCGAAGGCGGUUCUCUGGACCAUUACUGACGCUGAAGCGCGAAAGCGUGGGGAGCAAACAGG